Molecule: long non-coding RNA, 563 nt
Filed under: Mytilus galloprovincialis (Mediterranean mussel)
Lineage: Eukaryota; Metazoa; Mollusca; Bivalvia; Mytilida; Mytilidae
Source: RNAcentral
GGACAAGAUCUACAAAUAAGAUAAAAUGAUUGUUUGUACAGGUCAGAGUUAUCUUUCUUUGCACUUGUGUUUAUAGUAUUUUAUGAUUGUGUUUUGUAUGGCCUUUAUAUGAGACAAAGUUAUUUUGAUGAUGUCACCUUAAACCUUUAAUAAAGAAUCUACAUAUCUUUACAACCGAGUGGUUGUUAUACUCAUGCCUAUUUCCACCCGGUUUCAUAUCAACAUCAUUGGAGCCUCUAGUUACUAUCGCCAUAUCAUUUUCAUGUUUCAGUGACAUCUUUUAUUUUUUGCAGGAACACUUGAAUCAUUAAGUAACAAUGAUAUAGGUUUCUAUUGUAAAGCCAAUCUGAAAUCAUGGCGUCUCUAUCUGAAGAAGAGGAGAAUUAUGUCCGGUUAGCCUUGUUAUUGAGAGGAGUGACACCUAGAGCAGUCCGUACUUAUUUUGACAGAGAAUUUCCACCUACCUCUCUACCCUCAACACUAAGUACAAGCCACAACACUCUUUUGGACUUGAAAAAAAAGAGAAUCAUAAACCAGGCUCAGUGGAAUCUUUUGACAAAUGG